This 589-nucleotide ribosomal RNA is filed under the name Microbacterium sp. RNAcentral describes it as "bacterial SSU rRNA". It matches the Rfam family "Bacterial small subunit ribosomal RNA", at positions 288 to 885 of the family's 1533-position model. The record is from RNAcentral. Lineage: Bacteria; Bacillati; Actinomycetota; Actinomycetes; Micrococcales; Microbacteriaceae.
CGGCCUGAGAGGGUGACCGGCCACACUGGGACUGAGACACGGUCCCAGACUCCUACGGGAGGCAGCAGUGGGGAAUAUUGCACAAUGGGCGAAAGCCUGAUGCAGCAACGCCGCGUGAGGGAUGACGGCCUUCGGGUUGUAAACCUCUUUUAGCAGGGAAGAAGCGAAAGUGACGGUACCUGCAGAAAAAGCGCCGGCUAACUACGUGCCAGCAGCCGCGGUAAUACGUAGGGCGCAAGCGUUAUCCGGAAUUAUUGGGCGUAAAGAGCUCGUAGGCGGUUUGUCGCGUCUGCUGUGAAAUCCCGAGGCUCAACCUCGGGUCUGCAGUGGGUACGGGCAGACUAGAGUGCGGUAGGGGAGAUUGGAAUUCCUGGUGUAGCGGUGGAAUGCGCAGAUAUCAGGAGGAACACCGAUGGCGAAGGCAGAUCUCUGGGCCGUUACUGACGCUGAGGAGCGAAAGGGUGGGGAGCAAACAGGCUUAGAUACCCUGGUAGUCCACCCCGUAAACGUUGGGAACUAGUUGUGGGGUCCAUUCCACGGAUUCCGUGACGCAGCUAACGCAUUAAGUUCCCCGCCUGGGGGAGUACGG